Long non-coding RNA from Astatotilapia calliptera (eastern happy), 3432 nucleotides. The record is from Ensembl. NCBI's taxonomy places the organism in Eukaryota, Metazoa, Chordata, Actinopteri, Cichliformes, Cichlidae.
CCACCUUAUUUAUUGGAAAGUAUCGGUAUUGAUAUCGGCGAUACUGGCCCGCAUUUACUUGGUAUCGGAUCGAUACCAAAAUAUGCAGUAUCGCACACCACUAGCGAACGAAGGACUGAAAUCUGGUCACUUUUUAUACAAAUGAGCUGUGACGCACCGGAAACGGAAGUAGUGUUUCCCCCCAUUCGUUCUUUUAUUUUCUUUCCAGUCCGGCUCCGCUCUGCCAGAGUUUUAAAUACAGGAGAAUGGAAUACAAGCUGAUCAUGGCGGUCUCUGGCUUCCCGAGUCUCUACGACAUGAACUCCCCGACCUAUCGGGACCUGAACAUGCGGAGCGACGCGUGGCGGCAGGUGGCGGAGAUCGUCGGAGUCCCCGAGUCGGAGUGCAGAAGGAAGUGGAAGACACUGAGAGACCAGCACAGGAGGGAGAGGCAGCGUGAGAAGGAGCGGCGCGAGAGCGGCAUCGGGCUCUUUAACUACCGGCCAUGGAGAUACUCGUCCAUCCUGUCGUUCCUUAAUCCAUUCAUCGAUGCCCGGGCAGCCGGUACCAACGGCUGGGCCCUGGACCCACAGCCCUCUCAGGUCCAGGUGGCCGAAAUGGUCGGCUGCAGCACGACCACGGAGACGCGGAGCGACGACGACGAGAGCUACGGGUUCGCCGUAGCUGACGCGACCACGACGACAUCCUCGUCCUCAUCCUCAGAGUUCCCGCAGAGGAAGCGGCUACCCUCUGUCGGCUUGGACCCGUCCAGGCCCAAAGAAGCAAAGGUUGAGGUGAACUCAGGCGCCACAGAGACUGACGACGGCCUGCAGACGCAGCAGCACGCCAACAUGAAGGAGCUGUUUGAGAUGAUGAUGCACUCGGUGACAUCUCUUGCUACGACCUUAGCUUCGUCACGCUCUUCCUCGCAGACCCCUCUUCUGCAACAGGAUCCGCAGAGUCAUCAUCGCAGCCCGCCGCUGUCCUGGACCGUGGCGCGGCUGAACCAGCUGAAGACAGAGGAGCCGGAAGGCGACGUGGACGAGCUGCUCGUCCAAACGGACGAUGAGGAGGAGGUGGAGGAAGAGCGCCGCCCCGCUUCUCCCAGGCCGCUCUGGCCAAAGAGGAAGAGCGUCGACGGCCUGCUGGAGGAAUUCCUGACGAAGACAGAAGCCAGGGAUGCGCAGAGGGAGCGUGACAUGGAGCAGAGGGACGACGUGACGCUGUUCCUGCUGAGCCUGGCUCCGGCUAUGAGGAGACUGACAGCAGAGAAACAGUCAUGGGUCCGAACCAAGAUGCAGCAGUUUCUGCACGAGGCCGAGUUUGGCGCCACAAAGUUCCAGUGAGCCCACGAACGUUUUGAUGGAAGCUCAUUCAAAGGGGAAGGACUGAAUCCUCCCUGUAGACUCCACACGUGCCGACUCUUCUUACAGGUGAUUCAGGUAGCUCCAGAUUUGAUGGUCUGUCCCUGACCAAUGACUCCAGAUACUGGGUUUCUGUUUUCAUCGAUGACUAAACGGAUGUCUGCACAAAGCAGGACUUCGGGCACAUCGGGGUCACUGCAGGGUUAGCGCCACGCUUCAGUGUUGAUGUCUGAUUACUUAAUGGGAACUUAAACUUCUGCACAGAGGACUCUGUGCACGUGCACAUCCGUGUUCAGCAGCAGGAGACUUUCUAAAGUUUAGAUUUCUCACAAGAAUCUGUCCAGAAACAGUUUUUCCACGACCGACUUUAUUCCUGCAAGAAGGCCGUCUGCAGAUGUAAAACCGCUUCAUCGGCUUGUAACUGUCAAAGUGGUGAUUUGAUACUAAAGUGUCUAAAAUUUGAACCUUUGUAGAUGAAGCCUACAUCUGAAUACAGAGUAUUUAUUCUGUCGUCUUACUCAGACGGUCAAACAGCGCAGCCGAGGACAGUAAGCAGACGCCUGUUCUCUGACUGUCUGCGUUUGUCCAGCCGUCAGUUGAUCACAGAGCUAAGAUGAGUCUGUGAUCGAGCACCGUCAGCGUUCAUACUCACUAAAGCAUUCAGAGCACACACUUUAAUACUUCACUACUGUACGUGCUGUACACACACACACAGACAGACAUGAACGGGUGCAGCUUGUAUCAUGUGUUUAAUAAGCUGCAGGCUCCGCCUCCUUCAUGUGUCCAUGUAGCCUGAAUCCUGAUGCAAGCAGGUAAAGUGAUAAAGAUCUGCUGUUAAGAUCUUUGUAGCAAAUUAAUUACUGUUGUUAAGUUUGUGGUCCAAAAGUGUCACACGCUACGUCAGGGCAGGUGGUGCACUCCAGCACUGCAGACACACUUUUCCUCCUCUUCUCUGUCCCCGACCAAAAUACUUCUUUAUCUGACGUGAACAAGGAUCUUUUAUGACUUUUGAAUGAUGCGAAGCUCAAACAGAGACGUGUUGGUUCGUGUUCCUCUGAGAUCAUCUCAGACUGUUAACACCACUCAAUGUAUUUUAUGUACUUUUAUUUUGAAAGGCCGGUCACACUGAGACCAAAGUGUGAUCUUUGCUUUCUCCUCUGAAUCAGGAAUUCAGUGAUGAUCAAUGAAAUUGUAAAUAAUAUUUGUACCUGUUACCGGUAACCAGUUGCAGCUUUCUCCUGGUUUCCAUGGCGACGCAGUAUUUAUGGAGCUGUGGUUGCAAUCACGGUUUCCUCCUGGCUGUGAGAGUGUGAGGCCACAGCGUCUUUGGUUAUGUGUUCUGAGUGCAAUGCUCCAUGUGUGAUGCAGAAAAGCACAUUUUGUAUUACAGAAAAGUUUCUGUCUGUAUUUCUAAACAAUCAUAAGAGCGUGAUUUUUCCCAGAUAGCAUUGAACGCUUCAGCAAAGGAUUCCUUUCACUCUGGUUUGUGUUCACUACUCUCCCAUGUUAUUCAGUCCUGAGUUGGAACAUUUUUUAUGUUUCAGAGUCCUGCAGCUGAUUUUAUUUUCUUUGUUUGUCCUGUUUUUGUUUUUUGUUUAAAAACAAACAAACAAACUCUUCUUGCAGUCAUUUGUGUUUUUAUUUUAAAGUGAAUGCUCACAGCUGAGUCAUGCUUAGAGUGAACUUCAUAUGCAAACAUCUGAGCAGACUGCUGCAAAUAUUAUUGCACCACUCAUAAAGUGAGCUUCAGGAGGAGCCGAUUAAAACCUGAUUACUGACUGAAAAGAGCUCUUAGUGUGCUGCUGUGAAUAUUUCACCUUAAUUUGAAGUUUUCAUCCUUGUGCUGUAACACCGAUUCAGCAGGAAACUGCUGCUGCAAGGAUGUUUUCUUACAUAUACAAACUAUCAUUUUCUGUUCUCUGGAAUAACAUGUGGAUUACUGAACGCGCACAGACUCUGAACACAGUUUGAAGUCAGUUUCCAGGAAAUUGCUGUUUUAAAAAUAAAACUAAUCUUUGGUCAUUUCUGAGGAAAUGAAAACUAAUAUUUUAACUGCACGAAGCACAAAAGCAGUGACCAUUACUCCUUC